Molecule: long non-coding RNA, 678 nt
Organism: Daucus carota subsp. sativus
Lineage: Eukaryota; Viridiplantae; Streptophyta; Magnoliopsida; Apiales; Apiaceae
Exons: 2
Source: RefSeq, a predicted model, not a curated record
AUUAUUCAACCCGCCAUUGUCAUGCUGGUUUAGCAGGCUAAAUUCAGUUGCUUAGCCGAUAAUGGAGGAUACUGAAUAGUUAGGAAUUUCCUGAACUAUGAUUUAUAAAAAGGCAGACUGUGGUCUAUGAAAUGUUGAUUCUCAAAAGUUGAUUUGGAAUAUUUCUGUUUUUGAUAAUGAUUAUAAUUCUGUUCUGUUGAUUGAAUUGUUUAUUGAUCUAAAUUGUUAGAAUUGGAUUAGUUUUUAUAAAAUAUGUGGACCAGAUUCGUGGUCAGACCAGAUUCGUGGUCAAUUAUAGGCCAAUGUGUGCCUUGGAUCCGGUAUAGAGAACAAGGCUGUGUGCCAUGUUCGGGGUUAGUGCGUGACUGAUCAGCAGCCUAACCUUUGGUUUUCAAGUAAAAAUGUGAUGAAUCCAAUUCGACAAUUCUUCUAAAAGCUUAAAGAUGAAUUGCAUGAUUGAGAUUGCGAGUAUGGCUAAGGCUAGGCGAGGAGUCAGAGUAUAGAGUAUACAGAGGACAAGUGGAAAUGUUCAGGGAGAUUGUCAAGGUUGGUUCUAGAUAGAAUUGUUGAGAUUCAGUUGUAAUCAUAAUUUAAAUAGAUUGGCAGUGAUUCUUCUCAUUGAAGAUGAUCUGAGGUUGUAAGACAUUGUUUAUUUAUAGUGGUUGAUUCUAAUUUCAA